AGAGUUUGAUCCUGGCUCAGAAUGAACGCUGGCGGCGUGCUUAACACAUGCAAGUCGUACGAGGACUCUUUAGCUUGCUAAAGAUAGUAAAGUGGCGCACGGGUGAGUAACGCGUGGGUAAUCUACCUCCGAAUCGGGGAUAACCCGCCGAAAGGCGAGCUAAUACCGGAUAAUAUCUAUAAAAUUUCGGUUUUAAGGAUCAAAGGUGGUCUCUACAUGUAAGCUACUGUUUGGAGAUGAGCCCGCGUACCAUUAGCUUGUUGGUAGGGUAAUGGCCUACCAAGGCUUCGAUGGUUAGCUGGUCUGAGAGGAUGAUCAGCCACACUGGAACUGACACACGGUCCAGACUCCUACGGGAGGCAGCAGUGAGGAAUUUUGCGCAAUGGGGGAAACCCUGACGCAGCAACGCCGCGUGAGUGAUGAAGGCUUUCGGGUCGUAAAGCUCUGUCAAGUGGGAAGAACAUGCUUGAUGCUAAUACCAUCUUGCACUGACGGUACCACUGAAGGAAGCACCGGCUAACUCCGUGCCAGCAGCCGCGGUAAUACGGGGGGUGCAAGCGUUAUUCGGAAUUAUUGGGCGUAAAGGGCGCGUAGGCGGUCUCUUAAGUCAGAUGUGAAAGCCCGGGGCUUAACCCCGGAAGUGCAUUUGAAACUAAGGGACUUGAGUAUGGGAGAGGGAAGUGGAAUUCCUGGUGUAGAGGUGAAAUUCGUAGAUAUCAGGAGGAACACCGGUGGCGAAGGCGACUUCCUGGACCAAUACUGACGCUGAGGCGCGAAGGCGUGGGGAGCAAACAGGAUUAGAUACCCUGGUAGUCCACGCAGUAAACGGUGAACACUAGGUGUAGCGGGUAUUGACCCCUGCUGUGCCGUAGCUAACGCAUUAAGUGUUCCGCCUGGGGAGUACGGUCGCAAGAUUAAAAUUCAAAGGAAUUGACGGGGGGCCCGCACAAGCGGUGGAGCAUGUGGUUUAAUUCGACGCAACGCGAAGAACCUUACCUGGAUUUGACAUCCCGAGAAGUCUUUCGAAAGAUAGAUGUGCCCUUCGGGGAACUCGGUGACAAGUGCUGCAUAGCUGUCGUCAGCUCGUGUCGUGAGAUGUUGGGUUAAGUCCCGCAACGAGCGCAACCCCUAUCUUUAGUUACCAUCAAUUCGGUUGGGGACUCUAGAGAUACUGCCCCGGUUAACGGGGAGGAAGGUGGGGAUGACGUCAAGUCCUCAU
Molecule: ribosomal RNA, 1219 nt
Filed under: metagenome
Description: bacterial SSU rRNA
Rfam family: Bacterial small subunit ribosomal RNA
Source: RNAcentral